CAGCAAAUGAAUACAAGAGAUGGGUGCUGUGCGUAUAUCUCCCAGCAUUGGCCCUGGAUUAAGACUCACUGGCUAUGGGGGACAGACACCCACCAGUGAAGCUGACCUUGCUCUGUCUCUUCUCUAUGCAUACCUCAGAGAUACUGGAGGUUGGGUUCCAGACUACUGCAAUAAGAGAGAAGAGGAGAGACUCUUCAAGAUGGGGAAGGAAUGGUGGUCUUCAGUGUCUUCUUCAAGCAGCAGAGACCCAUGCCUAGCUGCCUUGAAGCACCCUAAAAAAGAACUUGGAGCCGAAUGAUAAUGGGGUCUAGCUAGGGAGCCUGGACAUUAGGCUCUAGGGCUUUCAGCCCUGGUAAAUAUUUUUGUGCCAAGCUUUAAGGGAUCAUGAGAGGUUGGCUAAUGAGGACAUGUGUGGUAAUUGGUGUGGACCGAAGACAAGAGGGCUGGGCCCAAUGAUGUACUGUGGAUAAGUUCCCGGGGGCCUUUGUACAACCCUGCAAAAGCAGUAGGAGGACUUACAUGCAAAUGUAUUUUGAUUUUGGAACCGAAGUAUUGUGACAUGUCAUAUAAACCCUUGUUAGUGGAGUAAAAGUCAUACCUCCUACUUGUGUGUUUGUAUUUGGGCAGGGGGUCAGUAAUGAUGGAACAGUGAUUCUGGUUACCAGAAAGCUUGAGAACUUGCUUCUUAUCACCAAAGACUUAAAGGGAAAUGGAACGCUUUAUGUGUAUCUUAAUAUCAUUAUCAAUCCGACAUGUUUUCAAUUGAAUAUUGGAUGUACCAGCAGCUGAUUCACUCAGCUGUUUGGAAGAGAGUGCUAAUGAGGCCAGGGUUCUUAUUUCCAUACAGUCAUAUACGCUUAGUGAGAGAGAAUUUCAGCUCCAAGCACCACAGAUUAAAUCCCUAACCUGCACCAACUGCUUUACAGAUAUGUGUGUUGGGUCAUGUGAGGCCAGGUGUGAAUGAGUCAGCAUAAAGCCUCUGUAACUCCAAGGGCAAAAACUCAAAAUAGACGUCCUGUUGACAUCCCUGUAAUCUGUACGAGUGUUUAUGAAGGAGAGAGCAUGCCGCUGCCAUAUGAACUAAUUCACAAAACAGAAACAUAUUGAAUCAAAUUCCUCUAAUUUCCAAAUGGAGGCUGGUAUGGCAAAUGGCUUUAUCGUCAGUUUAAUACUAUAUCUUAUCUGCAACAAAUAUUUUAUCUAUAAAAUGCGUGUAUUGAGGUGUCUUUAAAAAAAUACUGAAUUUAAGAAGAAUCUUUAACAAUCUGCAAAAUGAAAAGGAGGAAGCUGAGAUUGUGUUUUAUAUAAAAAAUCAGAAAGAGAAGUAAUAUUUAGAACAUAUACAAUGUUCUUAAGAUUAAUUUUUAUUUUUGGUAUAAUUUACAGACAAUGCCCUGGUCUUAAGGUUUCAAUUAAAUGAAUUUUGACAAUUGUAUACACCCAUAAAACCACCACUCAAAGCAAGUUAUAGAACAUUUCCAUCAUCCCAGAAAGUUCCUUUCUGCUCUUUCCCAGUCAAUUUCCCUUUCCCUCCCCCCAGGCGACCACUGUUCUAAUUUUUAUCACCAUAGAUUAGUUUGGCAUUUUCUUGAACUUCAUAUAAUAUAAUCAAACCAUACAUAUUCUUUUGUGUCUGACUUUUAUUCCCUCAACAUAAUGGUUUUGAGAUUCAUGCAUGUCAUUAUAUUAUAUCGGUAUAUUCUUUUUUAUUUUGGUAGGAAGGUACAAUGUGUUCAUCCAUUAUCCUGUUAAUGGAUAUUUGGAAUGUUUCUUAUUAUU
Molecule: long non-coding RNA, 1779 nt
Organism: Choloepus didactylus (southern two-toed sloth)
Lineage: Eukaryota; Metazoa; Chordata; Mammalia; Pilosa; Megalonychidae
Exons: 3
Source: RefSeq, a predicted model, not a curated record